RNAcentral lists this long non-coding RNA (10451 nucleotides) under Physcomitrium patens. Its description in RNAcentral is "long non-coding RNA (PPAT_LNC000271)". The record is from RNAcentral. Lineage: Eukaryota; Viridiplantae; Streptophyta; Bryopsida; Funariales; Funariaceae.
UCACUCAAACGCAAUUUUUAUAAACCCUAAGUUCAUUCAUAAACCCUAAGUUCAUCCAUAAAUCCUAAGUUCAUCCAUAAACCCUAAGUUCAUCCAUAAACCCUAAGUUCAUCUAGAAACCCUAAGUUCAUCCAUAAAUCCUAAGUUCAUCCAUAAACCCUAAGUUCAUCCAUAAACCCUAAGUUCAUCUAGAAACCCUAAGUUCAUCCAUAAAUCCUAAGUUCAUCCAUAAACCCUAAGUUCAUUCAUCCUAAAUUUUCCUUCAUCAAUCAUCCAUCCCUUAAAUCUCAUUCAUCCUAUAACAUUCAUUCAUUCAAAGUUUCAUUCAUCCAAUCAUAAGUCAACUUAUCAUCCAACUGACAAUUCGUGCAAUUGACCUAAUUCAUCCAAGUUUCAUCCUAAAAAUUAAAGAAAAUUGGAAGUCGCCACCUUCCAAGUCAUGGUAGCGACCCCCUUGCACGAAUUCCACUACAAUGGUUGCAUCACUAACUUGUUUAUAACAAACUUUGCUAUUUUAGAAAGUAGACUUACAAGCGCUUGUCCUCCAACAAAAUUCAAUGCAAAACAACAAUUAAGCUAAAAGAAAUCUUGCCUCAAAGUUGCCUGACUUUCUCGGCCUAGUCAGAGCACCCCUGGCCACAAAAACCCUUGCCCUUGCUCCAUUCCAGUUGUGCAAUGCAUAUGCUUUAGCAUUCCAGAAACUAGAAUUGAAGCCGCAUCACCUCCAAUAAUUUUUUCUUGAAAAUCUUGAGUGAAUUCCAAGAUAUGACCUUCCAAAGUAGCUUGAGUUGGCGGAGUGCUACAUCUUCACCACGGCCGACUCCUCUUCACUCCAACCACCAUAACUUCCUUGGCCUUUACUCAAUCUAAGCGUGCAAAUAGUCCUUGCAAAGCUGACAACAAGAACCAUCUUCCACAAAAGUUUCAGCUCCAAAUUCAAUAUUGUCUACCAACACUCGCCUUCCAAAGUCGGACCUCCAGAUCUGGCCGGCAGCUGACCUCCUUGUCACUAAAACCACCACAAUUUUCUUGUUUUCUCUCCAAACAAAGCGUGUCUACUGUCCCGAGGAAGCUAACGACAAGAUCUAACUAUUGGUAAAGUUUGACAUUCUAUUUCCAGAUAACUAAUACACUACAGCUGCGCAAUUGCAGCUCUAUAGAAACAAGGGUACGUGGGGAUGCAAUUUGGCAUGGCUUCGCCCCCCAAAAAAAAAGAGAGAGAGAGCGAGUGUGGCCACCUCCACCCUCUUAUCCAAGUAGGAAGAGACCAAAGGGUGGCAGCCACAUCUCCACCAUCCGAAUCCACCAACCCUAAUCAAGAUCAAGGGCCCACAUUAACCCUAAGUCCUAAACCCGAUUUUAGUGCUGGACAUGCCCAAAAUUCCCAAUUUGAAGCGUUUUUUGACAAAAAUAACUCCACCAAUGUGUUUAAAACAUAUUUAAACAUCAAGUUUGACUAUUCAUACAUCCAAAUCUAAGUUCUAGAUUAUUAAGAACCAAUAAUUUGACAAACCCAUUACAAUAAAUUUACUUCUAAUUAUUUUCUUCUCCUUUUUCUUCUUCUUCUCCUUAUCCCUCUUCAUCUUCUUCCUUCUUUCUUCUUGGCCUUUUUUUUUUUUGUUUUUUGUUUUUUUUUUUUUUUUUCUUUUGACUCUUUUUCUUAUCUUUCCCACUACUCCCUUCUCCCUUGAUUUUUCUUUCCACUACUAAUCAUCAAUAAGCCACUAACAUUAAUGUCUAUAACUAACUUAUUAUAACAAAAUAUAAUCAAAAUCCUCAUUUUUUUAGAUUUUUUUAGUUUAACCAACAAUGUGAACUAACUUUUGGGCUCACAUAAUUGGCGACCAUCAAGGGAUGAAUCCAACUUGUACUUGCCAAUUUUUGUCCUUUAAAGUAUUUUCACCAUGCCAGUUCAUACUAUCGCCUUGUCAUAAGAUAGAAAGGUGGAGCUCUUGCCCAAAAUUGCGCUUCCUCAUGUCUUAUAUUCUUUACACCUGCUACCUGAUGUUUGUGUGGGAAACAAUUGACCAUUCAAGGUCUCCAAUUGUACGAAGUUGUUUAAAAACACCUCCUUGACAAGAUAAGGACCCAACCAUAUGGCAUCAAACUUGCUUGGAAAGUCGAUCUUCCAAGCAUCUUGUAACAAUACUAGCAUACCAGGUUGCAAGACCCGAGUCUUGUUCCGUUUAUCAAACACGACCUUGCGCCGCCUCUGGAUGGCCUCAAUGUGUUGAAUCCCUCGUCUUCUGCUCUCAUCCAACGCCUCGAGCUCGUACAACCUUGUCUUUAAAGAUUGUCUGUCAGUCAAUCUGGAAUCUACUGCAAUCCAAAAGGAUGGAACCUCAAACUCAAUUGGUAAAACUGCUUCCAGUCCAUAGACUAGAGAGAAUGGCGUAGCCUGCGUGGUGACCUUGAAUGUUGUUCUAUAUGCCCAUAAGGCGGCUGGCAGUUUCACAUCUCAAUCACGCUUGGAGUCUCUAACAGUUUUCCUCAAUAUAGUACCAAGUAUUUGGUUGACUCGCUUUGUCUGACCAUUGGUUUGAGGGUGAUAGGAUGUAGUCUUCCGGUGAUCAAUCUGGAAUCGCUUAGUCAUGGAUUCAAUCACCUCGUUGAGGAAAUGAGUACCUCGAUCACUCACAAGGAUCUUCGGGACUCCAAAUCUAGUAAUUACAUUCUCAAAGAGAAAGAUUGCAGCAUUCUUGGCAUCAUUUGUUCUCACAGCCUUGGCUUCAGCCCACUUAGUAGGAUAUUCAGUGGCCACUACAAUAUAUGCCAUUCCUUGAGAUGAAUGAGGAUGAAUCUCGCCCACGUAAUCGAUGCCCCACUUCUCGAAUGGCACCAAUCGUAGGGAAAUGUGAAGCGGCAACUGCAUGUGAAUGUCAUUCCUAGCAAAUCUCUGACAUGCAUCACAACGCCUCACAUAGGCAUGAGCGUCCUUGAAGAGUGUUGGCCAGUAAUAACUAGCCCUAAGAAUUUUUUGAUUAGUCAAUUGGCCAGAAAAAUGUCCGCCACACGCACUGUUAUGACAAGCCGACAAAAUGGAAGGAACUUCAUCUUCCAUCACACAACGUCUUAACACUCCAUCCAAUCCACUUCGAUACAACCGGUUCCCUAACACCACAAAAUGACGACUAUUGACCCGAAUCUUCCGCCUCUCGUCCUUGGAUAAAUCCACUGGCAAUUGUUGAGUAGUCAAGAACUCAAUAAUCCUAGAAUACCAUGCUGAUCUAGCUGUCACCAAGAAAAGACUCUCGUCUAUCAAUCUAUCAUCAAUCGGGUGGGUCUCCAUUCCUCCAAGCAAUCUCGACAUGUGAUCUGCUUGUUUGUGUACGGAUCCAGUUUGUACUCCACAGUGUAAUCAAACUCUUGUAGCAACAAGACCCAUCUAGCUAGCCGACCGCUCAACUCAGGUUUGUUAACCAAAUACUUGAUGGCCAUAUGAUCCACAUAAAAAACCACUUUGUUGCUCAACAGAUAAUGUCUAAACUUCUUAGUUGAGAACACCAUGGCUAGACAUUCCCUCUCAGUGGUGGAAUAAUUUUUCUCUGCAAGAUUUAAUUGCCUACUAGCAUAGGCAAUUGGAUGAUCCUUGCCCUUGCUUGGGCCUUCUACAAGUUGGCACAGAAUGCUACCAACUGCCACUGCACUUGCAUCACAAUAAAUGUGGAAAGGCAAGUCCCACCUCAAGGGCCUCAAUAUUGGAUAAGAAGACAAUUUCUUCUUUAGAACCUCGAAAGCAUCAUUAUAAGCCUGAGUCCAUAUAAAUUUGGUGCCUUUCUUCUGAAGGCUAGUGAUAGGAAGGAUAAUAGUAGUGUAAUCUUCAAUCAACUCCCUAUACCAACCGGUGUGUCCCAAUACACGUUGCACUUCCUUCACACUGAUAGGAGGUGAUAAAUUCUGAAUUACCUUCACCUUUUCUGGCUCGGGCUCACGACCCCUCUUACUAACCAUAUAUCCCAAUAAAAUGCCUCUAGUCAAGGCAAGAUAGGUUUUUUCUGGAUUCAGGGCUAUUCGAGCUUUUUUGCACCUCUCUAAGCUUUCUUUCACCAAAUGAAUGUGAGAAUCUGCAUCAGAUUGGGUACUGAAAUCAUCAAUGAACACGAUCAUUGAUUUGUAUAACAAGUCUGAGAAGAUAGAUAUCACCAGACAUUAGAAAGUAGCAGGGGCGUUACAUAAUCCAAAUGGCAUCACAUGCCACACAAACGUCCCCCAAGGUGUUGUAAAUGUAGUCUUGUGUCGAUCUUCAGGUGCAAUAGACACUUGGUUGUAUCCAGAAUAUCCAUCCAUAAAUGUGUAUAAAUCGUGACCUGCCACUUCUUCCAAGAUGCUAGUGAUAAAUGGCAAGGGAAAGUGGUCUUUUUGGGUGCAAAAAUUCAACUUCCUAUAAUCCACACACACCCUAAGUUUACUAUUCUUCUUCUUUACAAGCACCAUGGGAGAGACCCAAUCUGUGAUCUCAACAGGUUUAAUAAAACCUGCUUGGAGUAAUUUCUCCAGUUCCUCUUUCACAAUCAAUUGAAGCUAAGGAUUCAUUCUCCUCUCCUUUUGCCUGAUCGGCACUACACCGGUCAUCAAAGAAAUUCGAUGUUCUACAAUCUCAAGAGGAAUCCCCUUUAACUCCUUGUAAGACCAUGCAAAGACCUCCCGAUACUCUCUUACCAACUCACAGUAGGCCUUGAUAUCUUCAUCCUCUAGUUGGCUUCCCAUCUUCAUUUGUCUUGAUUCUUCUCUUUCAAACUCCACUGUCACAUACUUCCACUCUUCCUUAGCAACGUGAGAUUGCUCAUUAUUAUCUCGAUACCAAUCCGAAGGCACAUUGGGAUAACUGAAAACGUCUUCACCAAUCGUAAUUCCCAAAGAACCAGUCUUAAAUUUCAAUGAUCCUCCCAAAUGCUCACUUUCCUCUAAAACCUCUACUCCUUCAACAUCCUCUAUUCCAAUCAAAUGGACAUCUACCUCAAUUAAAGGUGUCAAACCAUCGUCCAACUCCAUUCCAAUGAAAUUCAAUCCUGCCAUCAAUUCUGAUGAAGAAUCAGGGUUGUCUUGGAGCCACUUGGCAUACUCUCCAUUGUCUGACCAAUGGUAGAGAUUUGGACCAAGAUACUUCAAGGUUUGAUCUCAGCUUCAGACGUCAUCCCAUCCAUGGAUUUUAAUGGUGUGCCUUCUCCAAUAGAUAUGGUAUCAACCACCUCGAGUCCUAUCAAAGGCUUGAUUCUAACUUUAGUGGAGUUUUCAUAUGGACCGUAAACUAUAGAGGGCUUAUCACCACCCCACAUGAUGGUGGCAUUGGCCAUCCUCAACCACAGACGACCUAAGAGAAGUGGAAAAGAUUCUUUGGAAGUGUGCAUCCUGAUAACAUGGAAGGUCACUAAGUAAUCCUCCCCUCUUGUAGAGAUUUUACAAUUCGUAAUCUGGCCUAAAGGCCUAGCAGGACUCUGAUCUGCUAUGUUUAAUACAAAUGGUGAAGGUCCGGUUAAAUUCAACCUCAACUUCUCCAUGGUAUGAAGUGGCAUGAUGUUAAGCCCACUACCUCCAUCAAUGAGCACAUUCGGAACCACCUUGUCCACGAUAGUGACCUCGAUCUCCACUGCCUUCACAUCCACUGGCCUAAUAGAUGCUUGUACCCUAGCCACUGUCCUCUUCUGAGUCUUCUUCUUCCUCUUCGUCCUAGGCAAUCCUUCUUUCAAACUCUUCCUGUCACGGACAUACAUAUAAUUACCUAUAUGAAUAGAUAAAAGUAUGUAAAAGUAGGUUAAUUGUGUAAUAUCUUCUAGAGAAGCUUCUUAGAAGCUUCAUAGACGCUGCUUUGACUUUAUAGGAGUCUAUAGUUGACUUUUAGGUUAGAAACUUGGUCAACAAGUUAGCCAUGUGCCACGCAUGUUGGAAGCUUAAAGAACAAGCUAACUACGUGGUCCAUCCAUAGAAAACUUGCCUUGCAAGCAAAGGCAUGUGGCCUAGAAAGUCAACAUAUAUUGCAGGUCUUAUAGAACAUCGCCACGUGGCUUCUAGUUAGAUAGUAUAUAUAGAGGCAAGAGUGAAGCCCUCUUCACUCUUGUCAACUCCUUUCUUGCUUCUAGUCUAGUUUCAAGGGUCUCUAGUUUUCUUGUAUUUUGGCAAUAGCCAUUCCAGUUUCUUUCUUAAUAUACAUAUUUUUAUUUUGUCCUAUUUCUUUUUGAGAAAAGUCUCACUUACUCUUUAGCUUUCAUCGAGUUCUUGUCCCUGACACUUCCUCAUCAAAGGAGAUAUCUCCAAUAGUUGAGCAAUUGAGAUGUCAGCCUUUAUCCUCCGCAAGUCCCUCCAGAGAUCAUAUUUCUGGUAAGAGGUUGGCGUCGUAUGACCCAACCCUCUAAACUCCUCCUCUGGAAUAUCUGGACCCUCCCAUUCACCCGGUUCUAAGCCUUUACCUGGAUCAGAGCCUUCAGAUGACCUUUCAUCACCUACCGCGGCGCCUACCUCCCUUGUAAUUCUUACCGCCUCCUUUGCAGCCGCCUCAAGAGCUACUAAAUCCAACAACUCUUCAGACUCACUACUAUCUGAGUUUUUUUCAUCGAUUGGUGAUUGUCUAUGAGCUUGCCCUCGGGUAAUCAUAGCCAAAGUAGCAUUCUCAUGGCCACCGCCUCCGUCUUUCUUCAAUUCGUGGGACACUAAAUUAGAAGGUGCUUCAUGUUUUUCAAUCACCACUGUGGUCUUUGCUAGAGAUGGCGCAGGACCCUUCAAUAAGACCUCUUCUGCUACUCUAACAUCUUGCUUAGAAGAUGGACCUUGUUUCUGGUUUGCAUAGUUUCGACAGCCGCCUUGUUGAUUUUGGGCAACUGGGAUAUAACCUUGGCGGGUUUGUAACCCUUCUGGAGGUUGAUGGUUUUGUCUAAAAUCUUCAUAGUUGUAGUAGAGAUUAGGAGGUUUUAGGCCCCUCUGAUCAUCACCAUGAGGUCGUCUCUGAUCUCUCAUGUUAUUUCGCGCAUUCUCAUAAGGAUUUGUUAUUGGUGGUGGUAGUUGAAUUACCUUAUCAGGUUGUCUACAUUCAUGGGUAGGGUGAUUGCCACCACAAUUGCCACACGGCCAUGGUUGGCCAUCAUCCCAGCACUGACCCGGCUCAUGCCAUCUCCUGCAAAGCUCAUGGUACUCCUUCCGAGGCUUGCCACUUCUACCAUAUCCUUGAGGACCACCUUGAUAACCUCUUUGCCGCUGCUGAGGUCCUCUAUCUCUUCCAUAGCCCUGUGUUGGCUGGUAUGGUUGAGGAUUUGGAUUAUCUUGAGGCCUUACUCGGCACUGAAGAGAUGAAUGCCCAUUUUGGCGACAAGUAGUGCCCCAAACCCCCGAGUUAUGAUUACCAGACUCUAUUCGAGGAGGUGGGGUGUUUGAAUUUUGAUUCUUUACCAUGAAUGCCAUCUGCUCAGUCAAGGCUUGGAUCUGCUUCAUCAUGGAGUCUUGAAAACCUUCUUGUUCGGCCUGUAUUUUCUUCUCCAAGUCCUCCACUCUCCUCUCCAAUUGUGGCUCUGGUAACGCCAAUAAGAGUACCGGAGCUCUGGUGGCCGUGGGCAUGACAUUGUAAUAUUGGGCACCAUUGUCGACUAUCGGAGGUGUACUUGAUGUGCUUGGUCCUACCGCUUGGCUUACGAGAUUAAUUGGAAUAAAUCCCAGGAUAUACUCAUCUUCCUUCCUCCAAUGCCUUUCAUAACUUCUCUCGAUUAAAUCUACAAUGUGCGCCGCUGUUUUGGCUUCCUCCAAAGUGGCUGGGUUUCUCUCUAAUACUCCCUUGAUUGUAGAUCGAUUAGCAAAUCCUUCAAUGAAGAAUUGCUUUAACGUAUCACCAUUCAACAAUCCUCCUACAUAACGCAUGCAGACCAAGUCAAACCUCCUGAUGUAGUUAGCCAUUUCCUCGUCUCUUUGCUGUCGUACCGCUCCCAGUGCUCUCAAGGCUGUACUUUAUCCAACCUCCGGCCUAAAGUGGUUUAAGAAGGCUACUUGCAACUGGGACCACGUGAUAAAAUGUCCCUCAUCAUGGUCCCGGUACCAAUUGUAAGCCUCACCAUGUAAGGUUCCGGGGAACCAAACCAGGUAAUACCCCUCGUUCCCAAUGAGGGAUGUUGUCAAAAUCUCUAUGCACCUCUCCAUGUGUAGGGUUGAAUCCUCGUCCUUGGUGCCAUAGAACUUGGGGAGAUUCCUUGGAACUGUGGCCGCUAAUAGCCCUACUGGCAUAGCCACGGGCAAACCUCGUGGCUUAACUAAGGGAUCCAAAGCUGGAAGUCGCUCCGUCGCCAUCUCGUGAACAAAUCCUUCGACCACAGGCACAAAGUCCAAGGUCCUAUCCUGUUCUCUUAUUUCCCUAAGGUUCACGUCUCCAAACACUCCGUCUUCAGGGUCUACAUGUUCUAUCUCUAACUCCUCCACUUCCAACUCCUCCAAUAGCUCGCUGCCCCCGACAUCUCCUAAAGCCUUUUCUAAAUUCCUUCUAAUGUCUCCUCCAAGAAAUUCUUCAUUGCUUCUACUAUUAAUGAGUGUAUUCCGAGAAGGGGCUGCUUCUUUGUUAUCCACGACCUUGCCCCCACGUCUUUCAAUAUGUUCAAGUCCUUGGUUCAAAGUAGGUUUUUGAGAUCUAGUUUUUGGGAACAUCUAAACGUCCUCACUGACCUUCUCUCAUUACCUACCAACCCUUUUUUUUUUUUUUUUUUUUUUUUUUUUGAAAUUUUUAAAUUGAUAAUUAAUAAUCUAGCCUACCCUCAGGUGGAUAGAGAACGCAAACCACCAAGAUAGUAUUUACGGGCGAUGACAUGGAAUUCACCAAGACAAACCAGCCCGCUAGUCCAAUCUUGGCAUACGGUACAACCUAUGUUGUGGGGCUUACCCGGUCAGUAAACGAGACACUGUGAUUCUGCCUUCGUGGCCAGAACCCCCCUCAUUCUCAAUUCAGCUCACUGCCGAGGCAUUACCUACUAACAAGGCAACGACAACGACGAAUUACAAUCCUAAGUUAACAUAGAUCAUUCAAUGUAUGAUGGCUUACCUCAUGCAAUUCCAGCUUCCUGCACAAUUAGUAUACCACCGGCCUCUCGAUCACAUGCUAAGAUUUCUAGCAAAAACUACCAUAGAUAUCCCCAGGACCCACAUACCUUCUGCUGUGCUCCUUCCAAUCACGACCCCAUCAUCUUGCUCCUAUUAUCUCCUUCCUCCAUGUAAUCAAUCAUCUCAACUCAAAAAAAAAAAAAAAAAAAAAAAAAAAAAAAAAUGUUAAACAACGUCUCUAAGAUCGGCUUCCAACAAACGCACCAUUUAUGUGAGCUAAAUUCCUCCACCCUUAAUUGCGUUUAGUAGUCAAGUGGAUUAACUUCACUCACAUGCAAUUUUUAUAAACCCUAAGUUCAUUCAUAAACCCUAAGUUCAUCCAUAAAUCCUAAGUUCAUCCAUAAACCCUAAGUUCAUCCAUAAACCCUAAGUUCAUCCAUAAAUCCUAAGUUCAUCCAUAAACCCUAAGUUCAUUCAUCCUAAAUUUUCCUUCAUCAAUCAUCCAUCCCUUAAAUCUCAUUCAUCCUAUAACAUUCAUUCAUUCAAAGUUUCAUUCAUCCAAUCAUAAGUCAACUUAUCAUCCAACUGACAAUUCGUGCAAUUGACCUAAUUCAUCCAAGAUUCAUCCUAAAAAUUAAAGAAAAUUGGAAGUCGCCACCUUCCAAGUCAUGGUAGCGACCCCCUUGCACGAAUUCCACUACAAUGGUUGCAUCACUAACUUGUUUAUAACAAGCUUUGCUAUUUUAGAAAGUAGACUUACAAGCGCUUGUCCUCCAACAAAAUUCAAUGCAAAACAACAAUUAAGCUAAAAGAAAUCUUGCCUCAAAGUUGCCUGACUUUCUCGGCCUAGUCAGAGCACCCCUGGCCACAAAAACCCUUGCCCUUGCUCCAUUCCAGUUGUGCAAUGCAUAUGCUUUAGCAUUCCAGAAACUAGAAUUGAAGCCGCAUCACCUCCAAUAAUUUUUUCUUGAAAAUCUUGAGUGAAUUCCAAGAUAUGACCUUCCAAAGUAGCUUGAGUUGGCGGAGUGCUACAUCUUCACCACGGCCGACUCCUCUUCACUCCAACCACCAUAACUUCCUUGGCCUUUACUCAAUCUAAGCGUGCAAAUAGUCCUUGCAAAGCUGACAACAAGAACCAUCUUCCACAAAAGUUUCAGCUCCAAAUUCAAUAUUUUCUGCCAACACUCGCCUUCCAAAGUCGGACCUCCAGAUCUGGCCGGCAGCUGACCUCCUUGUCACUAAAACCACCACAAUUUUCUUGUUUUCUCUCCAAACAAAGCGUGUCUACUGUCCCGAGGAAGCUAACGACAAGAUCUAACUAUUGGUAAAGUUUGACAUUCUAUUUCCAGAUAACUAAUACACUACAGCUGCGCAAUUGCAGCUCUAUAGAAACAAGGGUACGUGGGGAUGCAAUUUGGCAUGGCUUCGCCCCCAAAAAAAAAAGAGAG